GAUGAACGAUGGCGGCGUGCCUAAUACAUGCAAGUCGAGCGAACAGACGAGGAGCUUGCUCCUCUGACGUUAGCGGCGGACGGGUGAGUAACACGUGGAUAACCUACCUAUAAGACUGGGAUAACUUCGGGAAACCGGAGCUGAUACCGGAUAAUAUAUUGAACCGCAUGGUUCAAUAGUGAAAGACGGUUUUGCUGUCACUUAUAGAUGGAUCCGCGCCGCAUUAGCUAGUUGGUAAGGUAACGGCUUACCAAGGCAACGAUGCGUAGCCGACCUGAGAGGGUGAUCGGCCACACUGGAACUGAGACACGGUCCAGACUCCUACGGGAGGCAGCAGUAGGGAAUCUUCCGCAAUGGGCGAAAGCUUGACGGAGCAACGCCGCGUGAGUGAUGAAGGUCUUCGGAUCGUAAAACUCUGUUAUUAGGGAAGAACAAAUGUGUAAGUAACUAUGCACGUCUUGACGGUACCUAAUCAGAAAGCCACGGCUAACUACGUG
Molecule: ribosomal RNA, 497 nt
Filed under: uncultured bacterium
Lineage: Bacteria
Description: partial 16S ribosomal RNA
Rfam family: Bacterial small subunit ribosomal RNA
Source: RNAcentral